Long non-coding RNA from Thunnus maccoyii (southern bluefin tuna), 4087 nucleotides. RefSeq lists it as uncharacterized. Lineage: Eukaryota; Metazoa; Chordata; Actinopteri; Scombriformes; Scombridae. The record is from RefSeq and is a predicted model, not a curated record. The transcript is spliced from 2 exons.
AUGAUACCUACAGGGGGGAGCACGGAGAAGAAAGACAUUUGAGUUAAUGGUGAAAAUGAUCAACAUGAAGAUACCCAACAUGUCAAGAAAUUAAUGGACACCUGCCAUCCAAUCAGAACUGAGAAUUCUCUGUGGCAUAACCAACCAAUCCACACCUUAAACAAAACUAAAUCUUAACCCCAAAAUUUUUGUCCCCAAAUUGGAACCUAGUCCCCAUACUGUGACUGUACAAACACAUUCGUGCCACCCCAAAAUGUUUGGCUUUCUAUUUUUUUUGAGAAACCUAAUUGACAUAAUGCAUUCCCUGUAGCUACUAACCCUAACCUUAACCAUCACAACAACAGUAAAUGCACUAACCCUAAUGCCAAGCACACACUACAUGACUCUCAAAGUUGUUAGAUUCACACUACACAACUCUUGGUCUUGUAAUCAUGAAUCUUGAAGUUGUGGUUUGCACACUACGUGACUGAUUGGCGACAGGGGGUCACACAUUACAGGAUCUUUCCCCGACGAGGCUUUCUGGUCUACAAACUAUGUUUUGUCAUGAAAACACACACAAGAAGUGACACGUGAAAUGUUUCCCCUUAUCUGCGCUCUCAUUGGCUGUAGCUCGUAGCCACCGUCAUUGCCAUUCACAACACUUUUCACACUACAGGAUUUGGACUCCAGAUCCAGAUAUUUAGCCUGCUUAAUAUCUUUCAGGCACCUGAGAUGCAUCAGCAAGUCUCUCAGAUCGCGUCUUUGAACAAUUCACACAUAGUGAUCAAGCGCUGAUUUGCAAGUGCUGAACAAACAAUGAUUUGACUCUGAUCAGGGGCUUUUGUCAGCAAUCCAAAAACUGUCGGCGAGCGUAAAAUCAGGGCUACAGUCGUGUAGUAUGAACUCGGCAUAACUCUACCUCAAUUUAAUUCUAACUUAACACAGAGUCAUGUUUACAUUCCUUCGGGGGACAUUACAAUGACUUACAUCAAUUUCCUUGAGACAUACCCUAACCCUUACCCCAACCCUAGACCAGUACUAAAAUGUAUUGAUUUACAUUAUGAGGACUUGCUUUUUGUCCCCAAAAGGCAGGCAAGUCCCCACUAUGUGACCGUGUAAACUUAUGUCCCCACAACAUGAAAAAUACAAGUACUCUCACACACAUAGACAAUUUACAGACACUGCAUCUGUGUUCAAGUUCCAUAAAAACCUUUUAUUUUUAUUCUGCUACAAAUUGAAUUGUUUUCUAGCAUGCAUAGUUUCACACAGUAAAGACAAGUAAAAUCACAAAGUAAGAAUUUCCCUUAGAAGAAUAUCUCAUCUUUAUAGCAUGCAUAUACCCCCCAUGUCCAUUUCUGAACAGUCAACCAAUAAUUUAGCUGCCCCAGGAACCAAAGGACAUUUAAAGCAGCCAUUUUGAAAAUGUAAUCCAAUAGAUCAUAUUUCUAAAAAAUACUACUCUGAAUGAGACUCAAAUAAUAAUUUCUGUAAACUUUCUUUGGCUUUUUUCAUAAAGAAGCUAAUACUGCUCCCUUACAUAUAUGUAUAAUGAAGAAGGUAAAGAAGGUAAAUUGAAAUUACAGAUUAUGCUAUAGGGGCAGUUUGUGGAUGAGGUUGAUUGUUCAAUUCCUUUUGAGGUAUUAAAGUUAAAAACGUAAAUGUUAUAACAAAGUGAAAUUUUUCACUUCAGGACUGUUCUGUAGACACAAUAGACUCACAGAAACCCAAUAAAUAAGUACAUUUAUCAAAGCUCUUCUCAUAAAAAUUAAAGCAUUAACAUAAUCGCUCUUUCAUCUGAAGUUUGAACGCUCAUCCACCACUGUGAGUCACAGUGUAGAUGAUCCAACAAACAAACCAGAACAUGUUUUAUGCAUUCUGAGUAUCCAUGCAGAGUAAUAUUCAGAAUUGGUAAAACAUAUUUAAAAAGGCCUGUCACAGUAGUCGAGAUUAGCAACUCGCUGUACGUGGAGAGAACAUCCUUCAAGAAUUUUUGCAGUCUUAUGCACACUGAAAAUUACACAUAUAUCACAGUAAGAUAGGCAUAACGUUAUUAAAGUCAGAAGAACUGUAUCAUUGCUACAUUACACAUAAUUACAAAACAAAAAUUGACUUUCCUUAACCAGAGUUUGACAAUGGUCUUAAGGGACAAAAUAAAUCCAUAGUGUGUAGAGAAACAACAGUAUGCACAAAACACAAACACACAGCUUUGACAGGAUCACAUGAAAUAUUUCCAUAUUGCCAUAUUGUAUUUGUGCUUAAGAUGUCUUCAGCAUAAGAAAGUAAUGUGCUGUAUUUGUAGGGUGCUGCUGGCAUACUGCUGUAGUUGGAACAUGUCUCUUUAACUGCUGCAGUUAUCAGCAACGAUGGCAUAGAGUUUGAGCCAAAUCGCUCAAACGUCACAUUACCCCUUUACCCUUGAGUUGACAACCACAUCAGCAUUAUAAAUGUCAUUACUAAAGGAAAAUGUGCUUUUUUUUAAAAUAUGCUUUGUAAAAGUCAGAAAUGCAGCUGUUUGUUUUGUUUAUGCUCUAGGAAACAGCAGCAUGUAAUCAACAGUGUUGCUCCUGGCUGUAUUCAUCAGCCUUUGAGCUUCAGCGUGGCAGUUUCAGGGCAGGGUUGAUAUGUUUUUGUUUUCUUGUUCACUGACAGUUCAGAAGUUCAAGACCCAUCAGUAGCCUGUGCUGGUUUCUCUCAUCUUCCCCCCAUGCCAACAGAGAAUCCAUGUUGUAUUUUAACAUGUCGGCUCUCCCUUAGGAACUCAUCGGGACAUCAUUCGCACAAAUUCUGUGAAUUGAAGAAAAGGACAAAUGUCGGACAUAACUUAAAAGUCAGCUACUUAAAAAAUCUACAGUAAGAUUUAUUAUAUGAUGCAGUGCAAGUGAAAACAAUUGUAUGUCAUGCUAUUUUCUUCUGCAUGCUAUUUCUGUUUCUGCUUUGGAGAUGUUGGUAGGUGGGUGUUACAUGUUAGUCAGUAAGCUAAAGAGGUGCUGGACAGUGGAUUUUGUUACUUUUGGACAGAGCCAGGCUAGCUGUUUAUCCCUGUUUCCAGUCUUUAUGCUAAGCUAAGCUAACUGGCUGCUGUGUGUAUAGCUUUUUAUUUACUGCACAGAUAUGACAGUGAUGUCAAUCUCCUCAGUUAACACUCUGUGCAUGAGCAAAUAAGCAAACUAUUUCCCAACUAUUCCUUUAAGUUCCAAUUCAUGUAUUUCUAUUAAUUUUUCUAUAGAGGUUAAUGUGAACUGGGCUUUAGCUCUGUCUGACCAUCUCACUCAAUAAAGAAAAUAUUCCUUACUUUUAUCCAAAUGGGUCAUAAUCAGUUUGGCUAACAAAAACAUAUUAUUAAAAUAUUUUGUAUGGAUGUCUCAAAUGUGUUAGCCUGAUAGCAGUUUGUUAAAAUCAGUUAUUGCAAGCUUGUAUGUUACACUGUCAUGUUUAAAUCAACUGUCAAGAGUUCAGUAAUUCAGUGUAUCAUUGUAAUUACUGACAUAUGUUAUUUUCUCUCUUUUCUCUCUCUUAAUGGCAUUUUACACACUAAUGCUGCCUAAAACUUACCCCUGAAUAUACCGAACCUCUCUGUUAAAUGUUAAUGUAAAUGUUAAUUGGACAUUAGCAUCAAUGGAUUGGAUAUAAAAUGCAGGGAAAAUAUUAAAAUUUAGUUAUUAGAAUUAAAUAUACUAGUUGCACUACUGAGAAAAGCACAUCCUGAUAUUUUCAUCCUUGACAGCCUAUAUGCAUCUUUUUCUCUGGGGGUAAUCUAUGAGGUGACAUAAUCCCUUGGUAUGGAGAUAAUCUGACAGACAGACCUACUGCCUUCAUCCCCUCACCUCACUAUCAGCGUGGUAUUGGGAUAUCAGUCAGAGACAUGCUGGGAUUUUUGCUUAUACUUGAAAUGUGCUUGAGUGUGUGUUUGUGUUUAAAAAAAGAGACAGGAUGAGAGAAAGUGAGAGCAAUGAAAGGUAUUGUGUAAGCAUGUUUGAUUUCCAGGCUCAGGCUGCAGUUAAAUAUAGUAUGCUAUAUGAAUUGCAACGUAUGAUGUCCUAUACUGCAGAGUUGUUGUUUUUUUUUUUUACCUUCAAAGUCUACGUGGCCAUCUCCGUUGAGGUCGAUG